AGAGUUUGAUCCUGGCUCAGAGCGAACGCUGGCGGCGUGCUUAACACAUGCAAGUCGAACGCGCAGCAAUCUGUAGCAAUACAGGUUGUGGGCGCGUGGCGAACGGGUGCGUAACACGUGGAUAACCUUCCUUCAGGUGGGGAAUAACCCAGUGAAAAUUGGGCUAAUACCGCAUAACAAAACGAGAAGACAUCUUUUUGUUUUCAAAGGCGCAAGCCGCCAGAAGAGGGAUCCGCGGCCGAUUAGCUUGUUGGCGGGGUAAUGGCCCACCAAGGCAAUGAUCGGUAGCCGGACUGAGAGGUUGGCCGGCCACACUGGAACUGAGACACGGUCCAGACUCCUACGGGAGGCAGCAGUGGGGAAUCUUGCACAAUGGGCGAAAGCCUGAUGCAGCAACGCCGCGUGGGGGAUGAAGCUUCUCGGAGUGUAAACCCCUUUCGACCCGGAAGAAAGCCCGCAAGGGUUUUGACGGUACGGGUAUAAGAAGCCCCGGCUAACUACGUGCCAGCAGCCGCGGUAAAACGUAGGGGGCCAGCGUUGCUCGGAAUUACUGGGCGUAAAGGGUCCGUAGGCGGUGUGGCAAGUCGGUAGUGAAAUCUCUAGGCUUAACCUAGAGGCUGCUGCCGAAACUGCCGUGCUAGAGUGUGAGAGAGGCGAGUGGAAUUACGGGUAGCGGUGAAAUGCGUAGAUAUCCGUAGGAACAUCCGAGGCGAAAGCGGCUCGCUGGAUCACAACUGACGCUGAGGGACGAAAGCUAGGGGAGCAAACAGGAUUAGAUACCCCGGUAGUCC
RNAcentral lists this ribosomal RNA (791 nucleotides) under uncultured bacterium. Its description in RNAcentral is "bacterial SSU rRNA". It matches the Rfam family "Bacterial small subunit ribosomal RNA", at positions 8 to 796 of the family's 1533-position model. The record is from RNAcentral.